Molecule: ribosomal RNA, 460 nt
Filed under: uncultured bacterium
Lineage: Bacteria
Description: partial 16S ribosomal RNA
Rfam family: Bacterial small subunit ribosomal RNA
Source: RNAcentral
CCUACGGGCGGCAGCAGUGAGGAAUAUUGGUCAAUGGACGCAAGCCUGAACCAGCCAUGCCGCGUGCAGGAUGACGGCUCUAUGAGUUGUAAACUGCUUUUGUACGAGGGUAAACCCCGAUACGUGUAUCGGGUUGAAAGUAUCGUACGAAUAAGGAUCGGCUAACUCCGUGCCAGCAGCCGCGGUAAUACGGAGGAUCCGAGCGUUAUCCGGAUUUAUUGGGUUUAAAGGGUGCGUAGGCGGUUUGAUAAGUUAGAGGUGAAAUGUCGGGGCUCAACCCCGAAACUGCCUCUAAUACUGUUGGACUAGAGAAUAGUUGCGGUAGGCGGAAUGUAUGGUGUAGCGGUGAAAUGCUUAGAGAUCAGACAGAACACCGAUUGCGAAGGCAGCUUACCAAACUAUAUCUGACGUUGAGGCACGAAAGCGUGGGUAGCAAACAGGAUUAGAUACCCCUGUAGUC